Molecule: ribosomal RNA, 1198 nt
Filed under: Escherichia coli
Lineage: Bacteria; Pseudomonadati; Pseudomonadota; Gammaproteobacteria; Enterobacterales; Enterobacteriaceae
Description: partial 23S ribosomal RNA
Rfam family: Bacterial large subunit ribosomal RNA
Source: RNAcentral
GGGUUGUGAGGUUAAGCGACUAAGCGUACACGGUGGAUGCCCUGGCAGUCAGAGGCGAUGAAGGACGUGCUAAUCUGCGAUAAGCGUCGGUAAGGUGAUAUGAACCGUUAUAACCGGCGAUUUCCGAAUGGGGAAACCCAGUGUGUUUCGACACACUAUCAUUAACUGAAUCCAUAGGUUAAUGAGGCGAACCGGGGGAACUGAAACAUCUAAGUACCCCGAGGAAAAGAAAUCAACCGAGAUUCCCCCAGUAGCGGCGAGCGAACGGGGAGCAGCCCAGAGCCUGAAUCAGUGUGUGUGUUAGUGGAAGCGUCUGGAAAGGCGCGCGAUACAGGGUGACAGCCCCGUACACAAAAAUGCACAUACUGUGAGCUCGAUGAGUAGGGCGGGACACGUGGUAUCCUGUCUGAAUAUGGGGGGACCAUCCUCCAAGGCUAAAUACUCCUGACUGACCGAUAGUGAACCAGUACCGUGAGGGAAAGGCGAAAAGAACCCCGGCGAGGGGAGUGAAAAAGAACCUGAAACCGUGUACGUACAAGCAGUGGGAGCACGCUUAGGCGUGUGACUGCGUACCUUUUGUAUAAUGGGUCAGCGACUUAUAUUCUGUAGCAAGGUUAACCGAAUAGGGGAGCCGAAGGGAAACCGAGUCUUAACUGGGCGUUAAGUUGCAGGGUAUAGACCCGAAACCCGGUGAUCUAGCCAUGGGCAGGUUGAAGGUUGGGUAACACUAACUGGAGGACCGAACCGACUAAUGUUGAAAAAUUAGCGGAUGACUUGUGGCUGGGGGUGAAAGGCCAAUCAAACCGGGAGAUAGCUGGUUCUCCCCGAAAGCUAUUUAGGUAGCGCCUCGUGAAUUCAUCUCCGGGGGUAGAGCACUGUUUCGGCAAGGGGGUCAUCCCGACUUACCAACCCGAUGCAAACUGCGAAUACCGGAGAAUGUUAUCACGGGAGACACACGGCGGGUGCUAACGUCCGUCGUGAAGAGGGAAACAACCCAGACCGCCAGCUAAGGUCCCAAAGUCAUGGUUAAGUGGGAAACGAUGUGGGAAGGCCCAGACAGCCAGGAUGUUGGCUUAGAAGCAGCCAUCAUUUAAAGAAAGCGUAAUAGCUCACUGGUCGAGUCGGCCUGCGCGGAAGAUGUAACGGGGCUAAACCAUGCACCGAAGCUGCGGCAGCGACGCUGAUGCGUUGUUGGGUA